GACGAACGCUGGCGGCGUGCUUAACACAUGCAAGUCGAGCGGGGUCCAUCCAGUAGCAAUACUGGUGAAGACCUAGCGGCGAACGGGUGAGUAACACGUGAGCAACCUGCCCCGAAGUCGUGGGAUAACACCGGGAAACCGGUGCUAAUACCGGAUGUCCUCACCGAGUCACCUGGCUUGAUGAGGAAAGAUUUAUCGCGUUCGGGAGGGGCUCGCGGCCUAUCAGCUUGUUGGCGGGGUAACGGCCACCAAGGCUUCGACGGGUAGCUGGUCUGAGAGGACGACCAGCCACACUGGGACUGAGACACGGCCCAGACUCCUACGGGAGGCAGCA
RNAcentral lists this ribosomal RNA (334 nucleotides) under uncultured bacterium. Its description in RNAcentral is "bacterial SSU rRNA". It matches the Rfam family "Bacterial small subunit ribosomal RNA", at positions 28 to 353 of the family's 1533-position model. The record is from RNAcentral.